Non-coding RNA from Misgurnus anguillicaudatus (oriental weatherfish), 1031 nucleotides. NCBI's taxonomy places the organism in Eukaryota, Metazoa, Chordata, Actinopteri, Cypriniformes, Cobitidae. The record is from RefSeq and is a predicted model, not a curated record.
CAGGGUGUUCAAAUACUUAUUUUCCUCACUGUAUCUCUCUAAGUAUAUCUCUGUACACAUGUUCAUAGGAGAGUUGAGGUUAGUGGAAGGUUGACCUCUGACACAACAUUACAAAAAAUUGCAUUACUUCAGAAGACAGGUGACUAAAAUAUUGGCUAAUUUUCAUUUCGGGGUGAACUAUUCCUUCACACAGCAGUAAAAAUGUUACUAAAAGUAGUAAAACAUUACUAUUUUACUCCAAAAAUCUUACUAUUUUGCAAGGUUCUUUUUCUAUUUUUGAGGCAAUUUUGUUAUGUGACCAUGUCUGCGAAAUCCAGGCAAAAUUUUCAUAAUUCUGAGAUUAGAAGCAUCAAAGUUUGAUUUCAAUCAUUCAUUUCACAUUGAUUUCAAUCUUUGAUAUGACUUUUCUCAGUCAGUAUUAAAUAUAUCAAUGUUAUAUUUUCACAGAAUGUUCUUUACAUGAUUUACUGUAGGAUUGUUUUGUAGAAAGCAGUAAAAUACAAAUAUAAUCUCUAUACAGGCCUUGCACCUACUGCCAAUUUCACAAGUAACUCCCAGUUUGGUAUGACUUUGAUAUUUUGUCUUCUAUUAUUAUAGACAGAAAUCAAACCUGUCCUCAUUUGACAUCCUCUACUCACAUUUACAUUGCAAGAACCUACAAGUUCAAGUGAUAUAAUAAAGUAAAAAUCUGCUCAUCUUUAUUGAUUAUGAAGAAGUCUCUGUCUUUUCAAUGACCUGUGCAUUUAAAGUCUACGGUGUAAAUGGAAAGAAAGUGUUUAAUGGAUAGAUAAUAAUAUUUUUAUAGAUGUGCAGCACUUAGCUGUAAUAAAUAUUCUGAAAGAUGGACAAUUGAAACAUGAACCAUUAAAACUACCUGGCCCAUUCAGAUCCAACAUGCAAUGACUAGUGCAGGUACUUCAGACAGUCGGAGCCUCUGUGCUCAUGUGGUGAUGCAGAGGUUUGAGUCCAGCCUCCAAAUAGCUCUGAUUCCCCUUGCAUCAUUCUGCCAGUCUGUAUAAUAAGAAAAAGAG